CCCACAUGCACACACACACACACGCACGCACACACACAGUGAAUCAGAGAGUGACAAGUGGCUGCACCUUGAGAGGGGCUUUUAUAAUCGUCUCAGUUGCUUUACUAAAUUAAUGGAGAGAGUCAAGUGGUUAAGUGACAACAAGGUUGCAAAAGUUGGUUCUGCUCAGUUCAACAUGUUUUGUUAGUGUAAGAUUCAACCAUUAUGCUUAUUUUAGGCUUGUUUUCUGAUGACAUAUAUGACUCUAAGCCAGAUUUUGGCCCGUCCACAGUUAGGUUGAAAACCUGCAUGAGCCUGCAGACAUCAGCGAAGGAAGAUGACCACAUUUCCUUAUUAAACUAGUACCUGUUCUACGGCGUAUUUAUCACUUAUAUUGAAAGUCUGGAUGUUUUUUUUAGACAAUAAAUAGUGAAACUAGUGUGUUUAGAUACAUUUGAGUAGGCUUGUUUUGUUAAAAUUGAUCGCUGUAAUGCUUCGUUGCAGAAGGAAGGCAGCAGCAUGAGCCAGCAAACUGGCGAUCAAUAUGGAAAUUCGCUCCACUAACUGCAAUGAUUGCACCACAAAGAGGCGAUAAGAGAAGAAGAACAUAGGAGAAGGGCCCCGGGGUACAGACUGACAUGAUCCCCUGAGGACUUUCUGCAUGGGUGAGGGCCCCAACAAAUUCACUGAAGAUUAAAGGGUGGCAAAGAUGCUGGUAUCUAUGUGAAAACACACACACAGAGGUGCCAGAGAGUGGAGUUGCACAUCUGCAAGACAGUCGAGAGCGGCAGGGGGCGCAGCGUUGACCACUGCGGCCCCCAUGCGAAGCAGUUCCUUCCUGUGCGUGAGAAUGACGUCAAAACUGGACUGCAGGCGGUUCUGCUGCUCCUCCACGCGGCCCUGCAGAGUGCGGAGCCAGCGGAUCAGAGCCAGACGCCGCGUCCACACGGUGUCCAUCAGCUCAGGAAGUUCGCCGUCGGAAUCUGACGACUGAUCGCGCCUCUCCUCCGCUCCUUCCUCCAUCAGAUCUUCCAGCCUCCCGUAGACAACCAGUUGCCUCCGCUCUCCAACCGGACGGAGGACAUGCUCCCGCCGGAGUCAGAUUCGGAGUCGCUGUCUCCCCACUCGUCGUCAUUUUCAAGCUUCAUCAUCUCCUCCAUAUCAUCCCUGC
Phyllopteryx taeniolatus (common seadragon) is the source of this 1150-nucleotide long non-coding RNA. RefSeq lists it as uncharacterized. The record is from RefSeq and is a predicted model, not a curated record. The transcript has 7 exons. Lineage: Eukaryota; Metazoa; Chordata; Actinopteri; Syngnathiformes; Syngnathidae.